Poecilia reticulata (guppy) is the source of this 1040-nucleotide non-coding RNA. The record is from RefSeq and is a predicted model, not a curated record. Lineage: Eukaryota; Metazoa; Chordata; Actinopteri; Cyprinodontiformes; Poeciliidae.
CCGGAUUGGAAGCAUCUCUAUUGCUUCUCUAUUGUCUCAAAAUGUGUCAACAGUUUGACACAUUUUGAGACGUCUGUAGGUAUUGUUCAGUUAUAGAAGCUGACAGACAGCUCAAGUGGGAUUUUUGACAGCUAUUGACACCUAGUUCUGCCGUGAGCAUGGAGAUUGAGGGCUAUUGGCAAGAGGUUUUUGUCAGAGAAGACAAUUGUAGAGCACUGCCGUGAAUGGUCAAAAACGAUGUGUGUCCGUGUUCCCCUAUCACCCCCCUCCCCUUGGGCCUAGGAGAGGUUUUUGUAUUUAAAUGAAGUUGCUGAGAGCCAUGUAAAUGCAAAUCAACUGUUGAGCACCGCCUUUUGACUCUUAUUCCUGUUGUAGCUAACCCAUUUUACCUUCUGUUCACCUGUUUACUAGACCCAGGACCUGGCCAAAACCUUUCAGUGUUAUUAAUUGAGAAAUAAUGAGAUUUAAGUAUAAAACAGGCAUUAAUGCUGAAAAUGUUCUAAUGUUACAAAGUCACACAAUUGGACCAAAUUUAAUGUGACAUUCACCAUCCAGCACUGAACACACUUAGCUCUGUCAACUUUCAUUUAACACUCCAGUCCAGUUGGUGGCAGUAAUGCGGUUUCAUAGUUGGUCAAGGAGCCGCCAUUAAACUCCAGACGAAGAUUUGCACCGGUGAUUUGAUGGAUUUAGCUACUACUAAACAUGAACGAAAAUACCCGUGCGUUGUGUGAAAUGGUGGAAAAGUCCCAUUUCACGGAUUUACCUUUUCAGUAUCGUUUUGAUAUUAAGCAAUGUUGCGGCAGAAAACAACAGAUGACACCGCGGCGGUCCAACAAGACCGAACUCACGACCUGAAAAAUGGCCAAGCAGAACCAGCCAGACCUCAGACCACGGUGCCGAGGAGCUCUGAGUCCACCAGGACCAAGAGAAAUUCAUACAGCAAGGCAGAGUGUGGAACGCAGUAAAGAUCUACAAAAUGGCGGAUGGAGGACGGAGUCAUGAAGCCUAGUCCACAGAAUGAGAGUCACAUUUGUGUC